This is a long non-coding RNA of Patiria miniata (bat star), 1053 nucleotides long. RefSeq lists it as uncharacterized. Lineage: Eukaryota; Metazoa; Echinodermata; Asteroidea; Valvatida; Asterinidae. The record is from RefSeq and is a predicted model, not a curated record. The transcript is spliced from 2 exons.
AUGUGGCAAUUAGAAUUCUGUCAGUUGGAUUACAGGAUCGUGGUGCUUGGGCAGUUGGGCUUGCAAGUUCAAGAGAACCAAAGCUUGUACCUGUUGUAGUAGAACAUGAACUUUAAGGCUGUAUAAUUGCCCAAAUCAUAAAUGUUGGCAGGAAGGUGAAUGCCUGUGGAAUCUUUCAGGACUUAAUUGCUGUUCAUGCAAACACAUUUGACGGAGAUGGUUCCAGUUACUGUGUGUGCAGAUUGUGUUCCUUCAUACAUGUCAUACAUACAUGUACUAGCUGUGCUGUCAUGGCUGUGGCUACAAUUUAAAAGAAUAUUGGACAUCAUGGACAUGAAGGCCUUGGACUUGGAGGAUGAAAGUAGAUGGACCUCCCUCCACCAGCAGACCAUGGUGACAGCUAGCUGGCUAUACUGUCAUUGACUGUUAGCAAUGACUUUCAACUGCAACUAGGGCUUCCAACGUCCAAAUGGUGUACAGCCCUACGACUACGUGUACGAGACAAUUUCGACAUCCAUCUGCUCAACAGAUCUUGAAAGGCACAUUUUACAUGUAAACAGGUCACCUAGGGCUAAUUCUACUGCCAUGCCUAUGUGCUGUUCGCUAUAUGGACCACGAUUGGCCAAAACUGAUAGAUAAUUGUUAUGUUCCCGCUUUGGGCUCCCAUUUUGCUGCAGUCGGCUGAAACUGGUCACAGACCCUUUCAAAAUAUAACUGUUCAACUUUUGACUUGAAACCGAUCGAAAUGCUUUUGUUUUGUCGGCUGGAAUAUCAUCUACAUCCACUGAGCUAAAACUUCAUCAGGUUAGUUGUUCAGAAGCCGUCUUGCACAUUUAGAGCACUUUUUUUGCUAAUGCAGAUGCACUAAACUGAAUAUGAAUAGCUACUGCAAUAAAAACACAAACUAAAUGUAGUGAUAAUCAUGAAAAAAGGCAACAUUGUGUAUUCCGCGGAUCACUUUGUUUUAAUUGUAUUCCGUGUGGUUUUAAUUUGAUUGCAACUGCAGACUGUAUGAUGUGGUGAUAGACAAAAUAAAGUACUGGUUCAAAUCAA